AUUGAACGCUGGCGGCAUGCCUUACACAUGCAAGUCGAACGGCAGCACGGGAGCAAUCCUGGUGGCGAGUGGCGAACGGGUGAGUAAUAUAUCGGAACGUGCCCAGUCGUGGGGGAUAACGCAGAGAAAGCUGUGCUAAUACCGCAUACGAUCUAUGGAUGAAAGCGGGGGAUCGCAAGACCUCGCGCGAUUGGAGCGGCCGAUAUCAGAUUAGCUAGUUGGUGAGGUAAAGGCUCACCAAGGCGACGAUCUGUAGCUGGUCUGAGAGGACGACCAGCCAAACUGGAACGGAGACACGGUCCAGACUCCUACGGGAGGCAGCAGUGGGGAAUUUUGGACAAUGGGCGAAAGCCUGAUCCAGCAAUGCCGCGUGCAGGAUGAAGGCCUUCGGGUUGUAAACUGCUUUUGUACGGAACGAAACGGUGAGCUCUAAUACAGUUUGCUAAUGACGGUACCGUAAGAAUAAGCACCGGCUAACUACGUGCCAGCCGCCGCAGUAA
RNAcentral lists this ribosomal RNA (500 nucleotides) under uncultured bacterium. RNAcentral describes it as "partial 16S ribosomal RNA". It matches the Rfam family "Bacterial small subunit ribosomal RNA", at positions 30 to 523 of the family's 1533-position model. The record is from RNAcentral.